CUUCACAGGAAAAAAGCUUUAAGCUCCCCGGCAAUCAUAAGGACUUAAAGUCCAACCCAGGUGGAUGUGCACCUCGACCUGAAUCUUGCAGAUGCUGGCUGUUGCGUUCUUGGCUGCAGAGAGUAAAGGAUCACAAAGGCUGAUGAAAGUGCAGGAAAGAUCUGUUUCUCGUGUCGUUGAAGGUAGAGCACCGACUCAGGUGUCGGGGAAGGAGGAGAGAGGACGUUUGAAGAAGGGAGGCCGCGCGGGUGAGGGGAGCCCCGCGUGGAGCCCCUCUGCCGGCUGGCACGCCAACCGAAACGCCCCGGCUUCAGAAGGGACGAGUUCUGAACAAGGUUAACCCGAGGUGUUUUUUAAUGUUUUCACUUACAACGUGCUUCCAUAUCUCUUGUAAAACUCCUCGGCAGCUGCGAACCU
Struthio camelus australis is the source of this 417-nucleotide long non-coding RNA. RefSeq lists it as uncharacterized. The record is from RefSeq and is a predicted model, not a curated record. Lineage: Eukaryota; Metazoa; Chordata; Aves; Struthioniformes; Struthionidae.